GACGUAGGGCGCGAGCGUUGUCCGGAUUUAUUGGGCGUAAAGAGCUCGUAGGCGGCUUGUCGCGUCGACCGUGAAAACUUGGGGCUCAACCCCAAGCCUGCGGUCGAUACGGGCAGGCUAGAGUUCGGUAGGGGAGCCUGGAAUUCCUGGUGUAGCGGUGAAAUGCGCAGAUAUCAGGAGGAACACCGGUGGCGAAGGCGGGUCUCUGGGCCGAUACUGACGCUGAGGAGCGAAAGCGUGGGGAGCGAACAGG
Molecule: ribosomal RNA, 253 nt
Filed under: uncultured bacterium
Lineage: Bacteria
Description: partial 16S ribosomal RNA
Rfam family: Bacterial small subunit ribosomal RNA
Source: RNAcentral